RNAcentral lists this ribosomal RNA (427 nucleotides) under uncultured bacterium. Its description in RNAcentral is "partial 16S ribosomal RNA". It matches the Rfam family "Bacterial small subunit ribosomal RNA", at positions 355 to 774 of the family's 1533-position model. The record is from RNAcentral.
UGGGGAAUAUUGCACAAUGGGCGCAAGCCUGAUGCAGCCAUGCCGCGUGUAUGAAGAAGGCCUUCGGGUUGUAAAGUACUUUCAGCGGGGAGGAAGGCGAUAAGGUUAAUAACCUUGUCGAUUGACGUUACCCGCAGAAGAAGCACCGGCUAACUCCGUGCCAGCAGCCGCGGUAAUACGGAGGGUGCAAGCGUUAAUCGGAAUUACUGGGCGUAAAGCGCACGCAGGCGGUCUGUCAAGUCGGAGGUGAAAUCCCCGGGCUCAACCUGGGAACUGCAUUCGAAACUGGCAGGCUAGAGUCUUGUAGAGGGGGGUAGAAUUCCAGGUGUAGCGGUGAAAUGCGUAGAGAUCUGGAGGAAUACCGGUGGCGAAGGCGGCCCCCUGGACAAAGACUGACGCUCAGGUGCGAAAGCGUGGGGAGCAAACA